GGGAGUAUAGCUCAACGGUAGAGCGUGUGCUUAGCACACAGGAGGUCCUGGGUUCAAUCUCUAGUACCUCCA
Molecule: transfer RNA, 72 nt
Organism: Camelus ferus (Wild Bactrian camel)
Lineage: Eukaryota; Metazoa; Chordata; Mammalia; Artiodactyla; Camelidae
Rfam family: tRNA
About the family: Transfer RNA (tRNA) molecules are approximately 80 nucleotides in length.
Source: Rfam